Rattus norvegicus (Norway rat) is the source of this 10836-nucleotide non-coding RNA. Lineage: Eukaryota; Metazoa; Chordata; Mammalia; Rodentia; Muridae. The record is from RefSeq and is a predicted model, not a curated record.
AUAUGCUAAUGAGGUGAUUCAUUCUCCGCCAAUCCCUGGAGGACAAGUAGUGGGGUGAUCCAUGCCCCACCAAUCCCUGAGAGAUAAUUAGCAUACUGUUGUCUAUAUAAGUCGAGCGACUUUGCUGCUCGGGGUCCCUCUUCAGAAGAGCUGUAACACUGAGAAGAGCUGUAACACUAAGAAGAGCUGUAACACAGUAAAGGCUUGCUCGAAGAAGAAUCCUGUUGCCGCGCGUCGUUCUUGCUGGCGGGACAUUGGGCGCGCUACAAGUGGUGCCGAAACCUGGUAACCAACAUCGCCAGUGCCGAGGGGACCCUUCAGUGUGCUGAAGAGGAUUCAGAACUGCGAGAAGGUAAAUUAAAAGAAUCAAGAAAAUCCAAUUUGGGUACCUGAGCGUUUGACUCGAAAAUUGCCUUCUGCUCUUCCUGAAGAUGAGACUACGAACCCUACUAUUACUACUGGGGAUGCAUUCUCAACAGAGCAAAGAAAUCUCGAAUUAUCUGAAAGGAAACUGGUCCAUGAAAGCAGAGCAACUAUCAAGACAAUUGCUGAUGCAGAUUGCUGUCUUCAACAGCACUAGGCUGGACCCCAUCACAGUUGAAGACUUUACCUCAUGGAUUACCAAUGCUUUCUCCCUUUUUAAGGAGUGGGCGGGCAUGUUUGUCCCGGGGAGCUAUUGUCCUCCUGGGAUGCGGAGUAGGUCUCUGGCUUAUUGGCCGUUUAAAAAGAGAACAUGCCAGACACAAAGUGGUUGUUUACCAGGCUAUGACCACCAUUAAAAAGGGUACUUCUCCCAACAUAUGGCUGGCCUCUUUGAAAGAUCAAGAGUUCGCCCUAGAUCAUUUUUGUCACAGUCAUGUGGAGUAAUUGUAUCCAGGGACGGGCAACUUUCCUCGAACUCGGACCAACCUAAGACACGGGGCCCGGUGGCAAUAGGGUAACUCUAUGACGGGUAAGGCCGAGUUUGGAUGAGAACGACCUAAGACAGGAGCAAUGACAAGAUUGACGUGACACCCAGAUCUAGACCAGUCAUUUUAUUAAACAAAAAAGGAAGAGAUGUAGAGAGCGGCGCGGCGAAACAAAGAUGGCGCCGACAUCCAGCCUUGUCUGGAUAUAAACGACUUACUGCGCAUGUGCAGGCUUGUCCCCUUGCUAGGGCUCCCUCUAGUGGUGAACAGCGGUACUGCACAUGUGUGGUUUAUGCACCAGGUGUCAGUUGACUGUUAAUAUGCUAAUGAGGUGAUUCAUUCUCCGCCAAUCCCUGGAGGACAAGUAGUGGGGUGAUCCAUGCCCCACCAAUCCCUGAGAGAUAAUUAGCAUACUGUUGUCUAUAUAAGUCGAGCGACUUUGCUGCUCGGGGUCCCUGUUCAGAAGAGCUGUAACACUGAGAAGAGCUGUAACACUAAGAAGAGCUGUAACACUGAGAAGAGCUGUAACACUAAGAAGAGCUGUAACACUGAGAAGAGCUGUAACACUAAGAAGAGCUGUAACACAGAAAAGGCUUGCUCGAAGAAAAAUCCUGUUGCCGCGCGUCAUUCUUGCUGGCGGGACAUUGGGCACGCGACAGCAAACCUCAGUUACCUCAAUCCUUUCUCUAACUCCUCCAUUGGGGACCUUGUUCUCAGUCCAAUGGCUGGCUGUGAGCAUCUGCAUCUGUAUUUGUCAUGCUUUGGUAGAGCCUCUCAGGAGACAGCUAUAUCAGGCUUCUGUCAGCAUGCACCUCUUGGCAUCCUCAAUAAUGACUGGGUUUGGUGACUGUAUGUGGAAUGAAUCCCCAUGUGUGGCAGUCUCUGGAUGACCUUUCCUUCAGUCUCUGUUCCACACUUUUCCUCUUGUGAGUGUUUUGUUUCCCCUUCUAAAAAGUACUAAAGCAUCUACACUUUUCUCUUCUUCUUGAGCUUCAUGUUAUCUAUAAAUUGUAUCUUGAGUAUUUUGAGACUUGCUGGUGUUAUUUAAGGAGUGACCAUCUAUAUUAAAUUCACAUUGUAUUACAUAUUAUAAAUAAUCAAAACAGGAUUUUUUGUGGCAGAGGAUGUGUCCAUAUUCUACAGGGGGGAAAAUUGCCAAUUUCUAUGAGGGACUUGAACACUGGCCUAUUAUAUUGUUUAUAGGGUGAAACUAUGUAAAAUAAGUGACAUCCGAGAGUUACCAAAAAUGACGAUUCCUCAGGUUCAAAUGGAGAAAAACAAGCAAAAAAAAGAUAAACUCAGCUGAAAUAAGUUAACUCUGGCAUUUCCUUUUCCUCUUUCUCUUUUCAUGACUGCACCUUUACUUCCCCCUCAGUUGACUGAGCCUCUAUCUCAUUUUUGUAGCUUAAAAUCUGAUGGGGAGAGCCUUGGUGGAGGGUGGAGAAAUAGUUUGCAGGUGUAAAAGUUCUCAGAAGGCUGAGACUAUUUUGAUCUGGAUUUAUGUACUUAAGUUCUCCUGGGGGUGCUUUUUCUUCUUCAGAUAUUUCCAAUGUUGGGGUUCCUGUUGCUCAGUUUCAAAUGUCACCUUGACAUACCUUAGGUCUACCUGGAACGAGUCUCAACAAGGAAUUAUCUAUAUGAGAAUGUUACAGUUUGACAUACUAGCCUUUAGGUUGUGUAUAAAUCCAUGGUCUUCAGCUUAUGGUACUGUUUAGGGAUGCUGCUGGAUGUGGUUGAUGGAACAGAGGCCUUAUUACUGACUCAUGUAGCCAGUCUUCAUUCUGGUCCAUUUCUCUCAUUCCUGAUUCACAAACACUUAAAAAACCACAUCCUCAGGUUCCCAUCCAUAGAGUGAGUAGGUGCCACUGUCACAGAUUCCCAGACAUACUGCACUGGAAUCUCCUGAUGGAUCUUUUUAUUUUUAUUUUUAUUUUUAUUUUUAUUUUUUGUUAUCUCUCUCUAGCUUCUUUGGCUCUCUAACUGAAACUAAACAAUAUCCUAGAUGUUCAGCACCAGAUUGAGACCUUGGAAACAUCCAGUUCCAUGAGCUAAAUAACUACCAGAUUCUCAGUCUUUCUGAUAUGCAAACAUCCAUUGUUGGAGUACCCAGGCUCUAUUCUGUGGGCCACUCUCAUAAAUCCUUUCAUAAUAUCUAUGCAUUAUGUAAGUUAUGUCCUUGAGAGAAGGUUUUAAAACAUAACUUUGCAUGCACUUUCUUUACCUUUACACUAGACAGUGCAGGCAUGGCCACAGUGCUGAUGUCUGAGAAUUCACCCCUUAUGAAGAGCUCUCAGCCCAGAACAAGGGGAGAAUGGAUGAAAACCAAACAGGAAACAAAAUAUGGGCACACCCAUGUACAACAGGGGUUGAGUAGCAAAGAGAUCCACUAGCUUGUGGAGUUGACACUUCAGGCUAUGUGAGCCCUUGCUGAAGCAGAGGCUGGGUGCCUCUGAUUUCUAAUCACUACUUGUUCAUGACACUUAUCAGCUGCUAUGACAACCAAACUGUCCCUAGGCACUGAAAAGCAAGGUCAACCCCAGCUGAACAUCAGUGUUUAGAGGCAUAGCUCAGCAAAGAGAAGCAAGCAAUCGAACAACUAUUAAUGUUGAGAAGUGAUUUUAAUAAGGGAAUCUUUGCAGACCAAUUGCUUUAGAAAACUUCUUUUGUUCCAAUCUUAACAAUAUCCUGAUCUGUACAAAAGGGAAUGAUUUCAAUGUAAUAGAUAAGGACAUUGAUAGGAAAGAGCUGACAGAAGUCAGAGGUACUGACUAGGAAAGCUAACUCUUGAAUGAAUCCUACCUGGCCAAUCAACUGAUCAGUCCCUGAGACAUGAAAACUAUCUCUGACAUGUUUCUGUGCUUGCUCACUUUCUCUAUACCUCCCCAGGGUAAACCUAGGACUAUCAAGGGAAAAUAUGUUCUAUACUUAGUUAUAUCCAUUCAUGAAUACUAUAAUUCAUCUUCAUAGGCCACAAUACAGUUUAUUUUGAAUGAUUAGACGUAAGCCUUGUCUAGAUGCCCAGAAGAAAGGUCUAUUAGUUCUGAAGGUUGAGAUAGGAUUUGAAACUUAAUUCAUCUUAUCUCUGGCAAUCAAGGUGCUUUGUAUCUAGGGCCAAAUGGAAAUCUUGAAACAUAAGAAAAUAGUUUAGUGAUGACCAAAUACAUCCCAUUAUGUCCAUUAAACUGCAUUCAUGAAACACAUGAAGAAAAGAAAAGCAGUGGCAGGGCCAGGGGAGGGAGAACAUAAGAUCUACAUGUGUUCAUUUUUAAUAAAAGAAGAAGAGGGAAUUUUAAGGAUGAGAAGACUAUUUUCCUUUACGUUCAAAAUUCUACAAUUGAUUCAGAAAACCUCAAGUGGAAUGUUUUCUUUAUAUACAAGGAACCAUGUAAGUAAUUCAUCACUAAAAUGACUCAUCCGUUGUUUUCACUCCACAAUGCAGUACACACCUGCUGCUCAUAACCAUCUUAUCCAUGGUCUUUUGUUCCUGUGCUCUGUUUGAACUCCAGACCCACAGGAGAGCAUGAAGAUCAACUGAGUAACUGGAACUGUCACUGAGAGGCCUUUCUAUCAAUGGGAUUCACUGUGGAGUGUCCUUGGAAUAAGAAGUGAUAAUAAUACCAACUAGAUAUAGGAUCAGAGUAGCUUACACAUUAAUUCAUAAUUAGCAUGGGACAUUUGAAGUGCCAGAAAGAAGCAGGACUGCAUGACAGAUCCCUGAGAAUCAAAUGUAUAUCAGCAUGUAUGGUUUUGCCAUAGGUGCUCCUUACGACUGUGUUGUGGUUUCCAGAACUUAUUUUAAAAGGAAAGGCCACCCAGAUACUGGCCCAACUAUUAUUGAUGCUAUGUUGGGCUUGCAGACAGGAGCCUAGAAUUGCUCUUCUCUGAGAGACUCUACCAGCAGCUGACUGAGACAGACUUAGAUACAGCCAAUCACUGAAGAGAGGUUAGGGACCUCUUUGUAAGAGAUAGGGAAAGGAUUGAAGGAGCUGAAGGGGAUUGCAAUCCCAUAGGAAGAACAAAAGUGCCAACUUACCUAGACCCCUUAGAGCUCCCAGAGACUAAGCCAGCAACCAAAAAGCAUAUAUGGGCUUGUCCAUGGUCCCUGCUACAUAUAUAGCUGAGGACUACAUUAUCUGGGUCACUGGGAAAGGAUAUACUUAAUCCUGUAUAAACUUGACACCCUGGGGAAGGGGGAUGCUAGCUGGGUGAGGUGGGAAUGGAUAGGUGAGUGAGAGAUGACCCUCUCAGAAGCAAACAAAUGGGGGGGGAUAAAGAACUCAUGGAUAGGGGACAAGGAAGGGGACAUUUGGAAUGCAAAUAAAUGAAACAAUUAAUAAAAUUAGAGUACAAAGAAAAAAUUAAGGUCUCUAAUAGGUAGUGCACUAUUUACAGGCCUAAUGUAAGUUUCAUGGCUUUGUGCCCCUUAAGUGGGAGAGAAAGGAUUCUGAUCUGCUAGUUAAUGUCACAGACUGAGAAAUUAGCUAACAAAAUGCAAGGCAGGUUCUCUUUAUGUUCUUGCAAAUGACACAUACACAUGCUUAAAUCUCUAAAUAAAUGCUUACUCCAUAUUUUAAAAGUUGUUAAAAUAAUACUCCUGGUGACAUUGCAUGUAUAUGAAACAGAUCAAUUAUUUCUAGUUCAGCCACCUGCUAAGUGAACAAACUUCUCUGGUUCUGAAUCUGACCAACUCCUUUCACAUUGUUAGGUGCACACUUAACGGUCAGUUAAAGAAAUUUUUAUUCACUAGCAUCUUAAUUAAAAUUAGGUCUCCAUAUAACUCAUUCUCUUUUACAGUGUCACUUAUAUCAUUUAGAGAAUUUAUACAUAUAUAUAUGAUAUUAUUUAUAUAAUUUCUAUUUCCCCUUAUGUCCAGUUGAUUUAGUGGAUGCAAUGAAUGAAUGAAAAUAAUAUUGACAGUGACUAUAUAAAGAACUACUCCUGUUCCUGGAAAGCUCUGGGCACAUUUUAUUUAUUUGCUUGUUUCUCUUCUAAAUUUCUUUGACAUAUAUACAAACACAUAUAUAUGGAAUAAUUUUUUCUUUGAUGCAAAAGUGUAAGUCCUAAGUCAUAUCCAUAUGUGAGUUCAUAUUGGCACAACAAUCAAAUAUGGUAACAAACAGACAUUAUCACAUGAACUUCUGAAGUAUAACUCUUUAGUAUACUGGUCUCUGACUACUCCUGUUGAAGACACACUAUCAGUACAAAUAAUUAGCAAAAUUAAUUUUAAAAAAUUAAUAAAAACAGAGGCAAAAAAUUUAAAAGUAAGCAAGGAGGGGAAUGUGGUAAGAUUUGAAGAAAGGAAAGGGAAAGGUGAAAUGAAGUAAUUAUAAUUUCAAAAAGGAAUUCCACCUAAGGAAUGAAUGAGUUGGAGACAUUCUUACGAUGGGAGUGAUAUGAAACUGAAAAUUCCAAUUAUCACUGCCUCUGUAUUUUCUUCUACUACUUGUUGCUAUUUUGUGUGGUUCUUGCCAGGACUUCUCACUGGUAUAGCUAACCAGAAAUCACUGUGUAGAAUGAGCUAUGUAGGGAUUUUGGACCCUUAAAACACUUUGCAAACUGUGUUUAAGAGGGGCAGAUUAGGGGACUGAAGGCAACUGAUAUAUGAUUGCCUAAGGUAUUGCUUCUACAGUCCUUCUCAGGGCUUCAGUUUGUCUUAUUUUUAGUCUUUCCACCAGGUGGAGUCAAAAGACAGAUUAUUAAAGGGUUAACCUUCAAAUGGUUGGUUAAUGUUUCUUUGUCUUCUUGAAGGAUAAGAACAUUGAAAUCACCAAGCAACUCUUUUCCUUUCCCAUGGUCUUGCUGUUUUUGUUGUUGUUGCCGUUGAUUCGGUUUUUGUUUUCAUCUCUCUUUAACUGUUAUGUCAAUGUGUCCCCCAUCUGUGACUGUGACUGAGAAUGCAGCUAUUGUGAGUAAGAGGUCUCUCCAGACAGUAGAGAGUGGCUGCUGUCCAACACCCCUAACAGCCAGGACACCUGUGACUAUGGGCAGUCUUCUACUCCGCCAAAUUGCUAGCUCUGUCUUCUCUGAAUGGUAAAAUUGGAAAUCCCUUAGGCAUUUCUAAAAGCAUUGAGGAAAUAAAUGAAUAAUUUAAUAAACAUUAGCUACUAUUAAUCCAAUAAUUACAUUUCAGGCAAAAAGAAAAGAGAAGAGAAUCUCUAUUUAGCCCUUUUUCUCUUACGGUAUUAUUUAUUCAACACCAAAGAAUUCCAGGGGAAGAAAAGAAGUAAAGAGAACAGAAAAUAAAAUCAAAAGAAAGAUCUAAACAGAAGCAUUUGAAAACAUUUUCCAAAAGAGUAAAAUGAAUUUGUUCAGGUGUGGUCUCCUGCUUUUACAGCCCUCUUGGCAGGAAGAGACCUCAAUUCCCCUUCCUUUAGUUUUGGGGCCAGGUUAAAUAGUAGUGAAUUGUCCCAGAAAUUUCUUUCUCUUUUCAUGGAACAAAGAAAGGAGAAGUGGAAACAUGUCUCCAUCCCUAACCCAGAAUCAAUCUCCAACUUAUAACCACUUGCAAAUGAAAACUUAGUUUCCUCAAAGAACAUUUAACUACUCUUGAGGGUAGUCUGCCUGCACAGCAGUAGAUGGCCACCAAAAACAUACUCAACAGCAUAUUUUCAUGCAGUGGGCCUUAAGUUCAAUUAGAUAUUGUUGGUUAGUCCCACAAAGUUUGUGUCACUAUGUGUAUGAUAUCCAGGUCUUGCUGCAUAAGUAUACACUGAGUAAGUGAGCAGGAAGCUAUGCUGACAGCAAAGAGCUUUUAAAUAGCAAUAGUAUUGAGAAUUCCAGCAGGAACAUAGGUAUAUGAAUUCUGCUGGACUCAACUAGACUUGAGUAGAAACCAUUUUUUAAGCCACAUAUUCUAUCUCCUAUUUCUCUGCCUGGCAUUGUGAUAACCAUUCUUAGAUGACCUGUAACAGCCUUUUCCUAUUUGAGUGCUAGAGGAGGGUUUGUAUUUGACAUGUCCUCUUUCCAAAAAGAGAAUAGCCUCAUCAGAAUAAAGGCACAUAGUGUUUUCAAAGUUUAAGUAUUUAAACGAUGUUUAAAGUUACAAAAAUGUUCCAGUACCCUACAUAACGAAAGUUUUUGCCUGCUUCCUGGAUACGUACUGGCUAAUACUAAAAGAGUAUAUUAAUAUAAUAUUGUUAACCAACUAAAAAGCCUUAUUUAAAAAAAUAAAAGGACAUCAUAAUUGUUGUCACCUCCUGACCCUGACCAAUUUGUGAGUAAUAGAAUAGAAGUGAUAUUUGUCAAGUGCAUAGCAACAAAAUGGCACAUAGCAACACCAUGGCACAUAGAAUACAAUGGAGAUAAAAACAGAAUUCAGCUUUGGACAGGCUUGUAAGUCAACACAUAAAACAGAGGAGUGACUUAGGAUUCAUUGUUAACUGAGAGAGAACGACAGAGGGAUGGAAAGAGUAAGAAUAUAGGUUUUCAACAAUGAGGCUCAGAUAUAUUAAUAAAAUUUGAAAGACUUUAUUUGUUUGUCCACUACUCCCAGAUGCCUUGAGUUCUUGAGAUUGAAGAUCAACACCAUGCCUAGAGAAAUUUUGCAUUCAUAGCUCUCACUGAAUGUGGUUUCCAAUUAUAUGUUCUUCUUAGCUUUCAUUUCCUUUUCGCUUCUCUGUCUUCAUGCCAUCUCUCCAACCACUUAUCUCCCUUCCUUUCUUCUCUCCAUUCUUCCCUGGCCCUUCCUUCAUAAUAUGCUUUUUUCACAACUAUAGAACUUCUUCGAAUGCUAGGAAUGCAAAUGGAGCGAAAUCCCUGCCCUCCUGUAGCUUUCACUGAAUAAACACUAUGUAUUAAAAGUGAGUCACAUUAAAAAAAUAAACAUUACUUGGAAAAAGAUAACCUUAGCUUUCUAUCAUUGUGACAAAAAACACAGGGAAAUCAUCUGAAAGGAAUGGAAGGGUUUUGGCCUUCCCUUAAGACCUAUCAGUAGUGGUUCAGAACAUCAUGGUGGAGCACAAAGUGGGAUGAGGCCUGUUCUCAUAGUAGCCAAAAAAUAAAGAAUGACAGGAAAAUAAUUGGAGUCCAAGAUCUUCCAUUAGGUCUUACCUCCUAAAGUUUCAACCACCUCCCAAUAACGCCACAGGAUGCUCCCCUCAGCAUUCAGAACAGAAGCUUUGGGGAAAUAUUCCAGAUCAAUGUCAUGACAAGUGGAUUAGAAGCAGAUAAGGAUUGUGGAGAAACUAGAGAAGAAAAGGGAUAGCAGAAGGAAGUAGUGGUGACAUGGUGACUUUAUUUGAGUUUUUCCAGUUGGCUUUUGGAGGACAUUGACAUUAGGUUAAAGUCCUGAAGGUAAUGGAGUGGUGGCAUGAGCACCAUGCUGGGAAAACUGAUCCAAGUAGAAUUACCAUUGUUAAGGCUGUGGAAUACAUGGAAAAUACAAAGAAGAUUUUUGUGAUUGGAGUGGAGGAAAUGUGGAAAUGUAGUAAGAAAAGCAAGUACUGUGGAUGAGAAACUCUUCAAAGGUUUGUGGGAAAAGAAGAUUAAUUUACUGUGAUCUUGGUAAAACUUGAUCACUUUGCUUGUGGAGCUCAGGGUAGCUUGGUUUGUUAAGAAAGAAAUUCAAGUUAAUGGGCAAGUAUAAUGAUCUAAGUGGCAAAUGAAACAACAUGAACCAAAACACAGCUUCCUCUUUUUAUUUAUCAUUUAUUUAUCAAUUAUUUAUCAUUUAUGGUGAUGUAGCUCAUUGAGAAUCACAUGUCAAGUGGAAAAUAUCCUAAAUAAAAAGUGCACACACACACAUCAAAUAUAACAAACACCACAACUUAGCAAUGGAGCCAGGUGUGGGGUGAGGAACAUUUUUCCUCAUGGUACUGAGCUGAGACUAAUACACUUUGCUCUCAUUAACCACUACAGAAAAGCUCCUUCCUGGGACCAAAUGCGUAUGGAAUGAGUGAGAGUCAUAAUUCCUAGGACUGUUUCUAUUAAAUGUGUAUUGUCACACCAUUGCCAAAGCAAAAUGUUUGAUGGCAGUGUAUGUUAAGCAGGUUCUAGUGUGAAAAUUGUAGCUCUCCUCUCUCUCUAAAAAUAGUUUAUGCUAGAGCACUUUUGAAUGACCAUGGUCCAAGAACACACAUUUACAUUAUUCCAAAUGUAGACUCAGUUUCAUGAAUCAUGCUAGAGUAAAAGAAAGCACAAGUUAAUGCAAGUUUAAGACACAUUGCUGGCUACAUCGGAGGUGGUUACAGCAAAAUGGGGAAACUUUCUACAGGUCUACGAUGUUAUCUGAUGACAUAACCAAGCUUUAGGGAACAUGGGAAUUAGUAUUCUGCUGAGUUAAUAGAAUCCAAAAGGUUUUAUCUAUUAGAUAUAAGGUAUUAGUUAAGACAUUGUGGUGGUGGAUAGACAUAGCUAUUCUGGUGGGCUAGAAUGACUCCAAGACAAGGCAAUUAGCCUCUGGACAUGCAGCCUUCUAAUCUCUCCACAGAACUGCAAUUCUAAUCAGUCCACUAGUCUCUACUAACACUUCUUUGCAGAAGCUUUCAUUCACAGUGAAUUUUCUUGAUAUCUAUAGCGUUUCCAGAGACUCACAUUCUGAACAUAAUUUGUAAGUGGAUCAAACUAAGCCCUUUUUAUUGUUAGAGACCUGAAACAUCUAAGAAGGGAAGACUCAUGGAAGAGUUAAAUAAAAGGUAUUUGGAACUGAGUUUGGAUGUGAAUUUCUCAGAGGCAAAGUUUGCUGAUGAAGUUGGAACAAUUUCUAAGGAAGCAAUUGUGAAUUUAGUGAAAGGUGCUGAAUAUGUAAAAUUUUAAGAUCCCUGAUAUGUUGACAGAUCAAAUCCUUAGCAUCUUCAAGAAUAAAGAAAGAGUUUUGGCUAUAAUGUCUUCCCUAUGUGUUUGUUUUCCCUGAUUAAGUUAGAUGAACUGCCUCUGUGGACUUUACAGAAUUUAGGAUUUUUUAUGAUGUGUGUGUGUGUGUGUGUGUGUG